AUGGAUAACUUAUAUAGUAACAAUAAUACUACAAACGGGAUAGACUUUACAAACAUGUAUGAUAACAGUCAAGCAUUUAUGAGUAGUGAUAUACAAACGAAAUUGGAUAAUACUACCAAUUUUAUAAGUAAUAAAAACGUAUAUUCUCCUUUGAACUCGUAUCAUUCAAAUAAUGUAAAUGAAAGCACAUCAUUAGAAAUGGAUAGAUUACCAAUAGUCGAAUUUGGAAAAGUACAAAAUAAAGCAACCUUAUAUGAUAAUAAUGUUAAUUUCAAAACAGAUAGUUAUAAUAUUAGCGGACAUAUUAUAAAUUCUGACGGAGUUACAGUAAAACCAAAUGAAAUUGUAAAAACAGAAUCUAUAAAAAAUAAUAUUCCUGUAAAUGAAAAUGUGAGUUCGCAUACUGAUUAUGCUAGAGCAACACAUAGUUCGCAUGUUGUUGAUAAGAAAAUAGUUCAUGAAGGAUUUGAUACUAUUAAGAUUCCUAAAUAUAGAGAAAUAGAAGUUGUCGAAAAGAUUGUGGAGGUCCCCGUAGUUCAUAAAGUUAAUAAAUAUAUAAAUAAAUAUGAAGUUAAAGAAGUUGAAAAGCUAGUAAAAAAAAAAAUUAAUAAAUAUGUAGAAGCAAAAAUUGAAAUACCUGAAUUAUAUUAUAAAGAUAAAAUUGUAGAAGUUCCUGAUGUACAAGAAUUUUUAAAAAUAGUUGAAAAACCUGAAAUAAAAGAAAGAAUUAUAUAUAAAAAUAAAAUAGAAAAAAAAAUAAUACCGAAAUAUAUAGAAGUACCCGUAAUUAAAGUAGUUGACAGGUAUGAAAGUUAUGAUGACAUAAAAGAAAUAAUAAAAACGGUACCAGUUAAAAAAAUUGUUGAAAUACCACAUGAAGUAAUAAAAAAAGUGAAAGUACCUAUUAAAAAAAUAAUUGAAGAACCUAAUUAUGUACCUAUCAUUAAAUAUCGUGAUGUUCCGGUAGAGAAGAUCAGAUAUGUUCCAAAAAUACAAACAAUCGAAUUAGUCAAAACUAUACCCAAAAUAAUAGAUAUUCCCGUGACAGUAAAAGUUCCUAAAAUAAAAGUUAUUGAUAAGCCUGUUUAUAUAAACAAAUAUAUCGAUAGGCCUGUAAUUGUACCAGUUUCUAAAACGAUGAAGCCAGUAUAUAAAUACGAAGGGAAAAGAGUGAUAGAUAUACCUAUACAUAAACCAUAUAUUGUUACCCAUGAUACUAUUGUAAAUGUACCUAUAGACAAUACAAUGAAUAAAGGUCGACGUUCUGUUUACACAAAAAAGUUAAAUUUGGACUCAAUGAGUACAGAAAAAAAAAACGAAUUAUUUCAUAUGGUUAAUAACACAAAAUUUAAUUUACAAAGAUCAAUGAGUGUAGAUAAUAUUUUUGAUAAUAAAAAUUUCACUGAUGAAAACUGUUUUGUUAACUGUUCAAAAUUACAAGAACCAGUAGGAACGAAAAAUGCGUUUUUAUCAAAUAAUGUUUUUUCGAAUUCGGGUUCUGUUGAGCAAUGCAAUAAUAGAUUAUCUGAUAACAUACAUACUAGAAACAAUAAUUUUAAUAAUAUGAGUAGAAAUGUGUUUAAUAAUUCAUUAGAUAACAAUACCAACAACAAUUUUAAUCGAUUGAACUUUACGAAAAGUUUAAAUUGUAACUCUAAUUUAAAAAACAUAACUUUAAACCCUUUAAAUAAUAAUUGUAUGAAUUUUAGUAACCCAUUGAAUGGUGGUAUUAGGAAUAAUAAUAAUUUUAUGCAUAUGUAUAAUCCUAAUGAAAGAUUUACUACUAAUAGAAAUACAAAUCAAAGCAUUAACAACCGCACAAACGUAGUUGAAAAUGAU
This 1839-nucleotide long non-coding RNA is filed under the name Piliocolobus tephrosceles (Ugandan red Colobus). RNAcentral's name for it is "lncRNA (ENSPTEG00000006456.1)". Lineage: Eukaryota; Metazoa; Chordata; Mammalia; Primates; Cercopithecidae. The record is from RNAcentral.